GCGUUAUCCGGAUUCACUGGGUUUAAAGGGUGCGUAGGUGGGUUGGUAAGUCAGUGGUGAAAUCUCCGUGCUUAACAUGGAAACUGCCAUUGAUACUACUGGUCUUGAAUUUUCCGGAGGUAAGCGGAAUAUGUCAUGUAGCGGUGAAAUGCUUAGAUAUGACAUAGAACACCAAUCGCGAAGACAGCUUACUACAGGGAUAUUGACACUGAGGCCCGAAAGCGUG
This 226-nucleotide ribosomal RNA is filed under the name uncultured bacterium. RNAcentral's name for it is "partial 16S ribosomal RNA". It matches the Rfam family "Bacterial small subunit ribosomal RNA", at positions 538 to 763 of the family's 1533-position model. The record is from RNAcentral.